Molecule: long non-coding RNA, 918 nt
Filed under: Mytilus galloprovincialis (Mediterranean mussel)
Lineage: Eukaryota; Metazoa; Mollusca; Bivalvia; Mytilida; Mytilidae
Source: RNAcentral
AGAAAAGAAAUAGAUAAUUACGGACCAUCUUAACCCAAAACGAGCCUUAAGGAGGAAAAGAACAGUGAUAGGAAAUUAUUUCUCUCUAACAGAAUUCAUUUGAAAUUAAAUGCACCCGAUUUCGUAUUCUUCAAAUUCAAUCUGAUGCUCCGGAAAAUAUGUUAAUCAAACACACAACCCUCGAGAUACAACCACUUUUACAGAUUACGGGCCAUUCCCGAUAGUUUGAUGAACGAACACAUAGUUAGAAUUCAACAUAGACUAGUGAUAUUUAUACUUUGUCCUUUACUUUCGGCGACCGAAACAUUUUACAGCAUUCCUGACGCGAUUGGAAGCAGUACCUCUGGCCAAGGGAAGCCAGUCGAAAUGGUACGGAAUUGUUGAUAAAAUGUCGUCUAUUUUGGGGAAGAAAGUUAACAGAACAUUCAGACCACACAACCUAUACAGUAUAUAUACACAGCCUGACAACUUAUUGUAUUAUUCUUUCCACGAUGCAAGAGGACAAACACAUCUUGGCAGAAUAAUUUUAUCAAACAUUUUCACAACAAAAACAUUUUAUUUUAAUUUCUUUUUAUAGUUUAUUUACAUACUUACAAUGAACUUUCACUUUCACUUUCAGUACGUUGCUAUUAAUAACGUUACUUACCAUUGUAACAUUGUGACGUUUAAAUUUUAACAACCCGAUUUUUUACUUCAGCAUGAUUUUAUGUAUUGUUUUUAUCCUGAUGACGGUGCCCUAGGCACCGAAACAUGUCGAUCAAUAAAUCUCUGCAGCAGUCCCUAAAGUGUUGUUGUUAUAAGACUCUCUACAUUUUAUGUUUUUUAUCAUAACGACCCUGCAUACCCUCGGGUAUCCACUUUAUGGACUCUACCGUAUUACAGACUCACCAGGCGUUGGUUCACUUUCGUUUGUAAUUA